This 308-nucleotide small nuclear RNA is filed under the name Anolis carolinensis (green anole). RNAcentral describes it as "7SK RNA". It matches the Rfam family "7SK RNA". From Rfam's summary of the family: 7SK was discovered as an abundant small nuclear RNA in the mid-70s but a possible function has only recently been suggested. Two independent studies have found that 7SK RNA binds the CDK9/cyclin T complex (known as elongation factor P-TEFb). The record is from Rfam by way of RNAcentral. Lineage: Eukaryota; Metazoa; Chordata; Lepidosauria; Squamata; Anolidae.
CGAUGUGGGGGCGAUCUGGCUGCGACAUCUGUCACCCCAUUGAUCACCAGGGUUGAUUUGGCUGAUCUGGCUGGCUAGGCGGGUGUCCCCUUCCUCCCUCACCGCUCCAUGUGUGUCCCUCCUGAAGCUGCGUGCUCGGUGGAAGAGGACGACGUCCCAGGUAUGGAAGGAGUGUACCGAAGUCUCCAGUCUUUGGUCCCGGGUAUACAAUAGCUGCGCUUCCCUGCAUGAUCACAAUGACCAAAUGUGAGCCAGGAUCCUACCUCUUCCUCUCCAUGUAACACACUGUGUCCUGGCAGAAAUCCCAU